RNAcentral lists this ribosomal RNA (423 nucleotides) under uncultured bacterium. Its description in RNAcentral is "bacterial SSU rRNA". It matches the Rfam family "Bacterial small subunit ribosomal RNA", at positions 358 to 773 of the family's 1533-position model. The record is from RNAcentral.
GGAAUAUUGGACAAUGGGGGCAACCCUGAUCCAGCGACGCCGCGUGGGUGAAGAAGGCCUGCGGGUUGUAAAGCCCUUUCGGUGGGGAAGAAAAGCCUCGACCUAAUACGUCGGGGUCUUGACGUAACCCACAAAAGAAGCACCGGCUAACUCUGUGCCAGCAGCCGCGGUAAUACAGAGGGUGCGAGCGUUAAUCGGAAUUCCUGGGCGUAAAGCGCGCGUAGGUGGUUGGUUAAGUUGGAUGUGAAAGCCCCGGGCUCAACCUGGGAACUGCAUCCAAAACUGGCCGGCUAGAGUACGGUAGAGGGUGGUGGAAUUUCCUGUGUAGCGGUGAAAUGCGUAGAUAUAGGAAGGAACACCAGUGGCGAAGGCGACCACCUGGACUGAUACUGACACUGAGGUGCGAAAGCGUGGGGAGCAAAC